CACGUGGGAGGCGAGCGUUGUCCGGAUUCAUUGGGCGUAAAGAGCGCGCAGGCGGUUUGGCAAGUCGGAUGUGAAAUCCCGCGGCUCAACCUCGGGACUGCAUCCGAUACUGCCCGACUAGAGGUAGGUAGGGGAGAUCGGAAUUCCUGGUGUAGCGGUGAAAUGCGCAGAUAUCAGGAGGAACACCGGUGGCGAAGGCGAGUCCCUGGAAAACUCCUGACACUGAGGCACGAAAGCUAGGGGAGCAAACAGG
RNAcentral lists this ribosomal RNA (253 nucleotides) under uncultured bacterium. RNAcentral describes it as "partial 16S ribosomal RNA". It matches the Rfam family "Bacterial small subunit ribosomal RNA", at positions 524 to 776 of the family's 1533-position model. The record is from RNAcentral.